This 253-nucleotide ribosomal RNA is filed under the name uncultured bacterium. RNAcentral describes it as "partial 16S ribosomal RNA". It matches the Rfam family "Bacterial small subunit ribosomal RNA", at positions 524 to 776 of the family's 1533-position model. The record is from RNAcentral.
UACGAAGGGAGCUAGCGUUGUUCGGAAUCACUGGGCGUAAAGGGCUCGUAGGUGGCCAACUAAGUCGGACGUGAAAUCCCUCAGCUUAACUGGGGAACUGCGUCCGAUACUGGAUGGCUUGAGUUUGGGAGAGGGAUGCGGAAUUCCAGGUGUAGCGGUGAAAUGCGUAGAUAUCUGGAGGAACACCGGUGGCGAAGGCGGCAUCCUGGACCAACACUGACACUGAGGAGCGAAAGCCAGGGGAGCAAACGGG